GACGAACGCUGGCGGCGUGCUUAACACAUGCAAGUCGAACGGAAAGGCCCUGCUUGCAGGGUGCUCGAGUGGCGAACGGGUGAGUAACACGUGGGUGAUCUGCCCCUUACUUUUGGAUAAGCCUGGGAAACUGGGUCUAAUACUGGAUAGGACCAUGCUGUAGGUGGGGUGGUGGAAAGAUUAGUUUCGGUAAGGGAUGAGCUCGCGGCCUAUCAGCUUGUUGGUGGGGUAAUGGCCUACCAAGGCGUCGACGGGUGGCCGGCCUGAGAGGGUGGACGGCCACAUUGGGACUGAGAUACGGCCCAGAAUCCUACGGGAGGCAGCAGUGGGGAAUAUUGCACAAUGGGCGGAAGCCUGAUGAAGCAACGCCGCGUGGGGGAUGACGGCCGUCGGGUUGUAAACUCCUUUCAGCCAUGACGAAGCCCUUGUGGUGACGGUAGUGGUAGAAGAAGCACCGGCUAACUACGUG
Molecule: ribosomal RNA, 469 nt
Filed under: uncultured bacterium
Lineage: Bacteria
Description: partial 16S ribosomal RNA
Rfam family: Bacterial small subunit ribosomal RNA
Source: RNAcentral